Molecule: ribosomal RNA, 1059 nt
Filed under: Triticum aestivum (bread wheat)
Lineage: Eukaryota; Viridiplantae; Streptophyta; Magnoliopsida; Poales; Poaceae
Description: partial small subunit ribosomal RNA
Source: RNAcentral
AUGGCAGCAAACGUGGCGCUGCUCUCCGCCUCUUCGCCCUCCACCUCCGCCUCCUCCAUCCUCCGUCGCCACCCCCCGCCUCGCCGCUCCGCCUGCCCCCGGAGAGCAGCCUCCAGGCUAUCCGUCGUGGCUGCGAUGAGCGACGACCCGAUCAAGGAGUGGAUCCUCACCGAGGGGAAGGCCACCCAGAUCACAGGGACCAGCUCCAUUGGGGGUGGCUGCAUCAACGCCGCCCAGCGCUACGACACCGAUGCUGGCUCCUUUUUUGUGAAGACCAACAGGCGCAUCGGUCCAGCCAUGUUUGAAGGGGAGGCUCUGGGCUUGAAGGCAAUGUAUGACACCAAGUCAAUCCGUGUUCCUUUGCCAUACAAGGUUGGCUCGUUACCAACUGGUGGUUCUUUUAUCAUCAUGGAGUUUAUUCAGUUUGGUCGUUCUAGGGGUGACCAGGUAACCUUGUCCCGAAACCCCUUUCGUUCAAAGAAAAAGUCAGCUCUAGGGAGAAAGCUUGCUGAAAUGCAUAAAUCUGCAAAAUCUGACAAGGGCUAUGGCUUCUAUGUUGAAAAUACUAUUGGAAGCACUCCGCAAAUUAACACUUGGACUGCUGACUGGAUUGAGUUUUACUCGAAGCAUAGACUGGGAUACCAGUUGAAGUUGAUAUCGCAGCGGUUCGGAGAUUCAGCCAUAUAUGAAAAGGGUCAGCGAUUGAUUGAGAAAAUGCAUCUAUUGUUUGACGGUGCUGUUAUUGAGCCAUGCCUGCUUCAUGGAGAUUUAUGGAGUGGAAAUAUAAGCGCUGAUGCUAAUGGAGAUCCUGUAAUACUGGAUCCAGCAUGCUACUAUGGACAUAAUGAAGCAGAGUUUGGGAUGUCAUGGUGUGCUGGAUUCAGAGGGGAUUUCUACAGCUCCUAUUUCGAGGUGAUGCCGAAGCAGCCAGGCUUUGAGAAGAGGAGGGACCUGUAUCUCCUAUACCACUACCUGAAUCACUACAACCUUUUCGGCUCUGGGUACCGCUCCUCAGCUAUGUCCAUAAUCGACGACUACCUGCGGAUGCUGAAGGCGUAG